AGAACGAACGCUGGCGGCAUGCCUAACACAUGCAAGUCGAACGCUCGUAGCAAUACGGGAGUGGCGGACGGGUGAGUAACGCGUGGGAACCUGCCCUGGAGUGGGGGAUAACCGAUGGAAACGUCGGCUAAUACCGCAUACGACCUGAGGGUGAAAGAUUUAUCGCUCUAGGAGGGGCCCGCGUCGGAUUAGCUAGUUGGUGAGGUAACGGCUCACCAAGGCGAUGAUCCGUAGCUGGUCUGAGAGGAUGACCAGCCACACUGGGACUGAGACACGGCCCAGACUCCUACGGGAGGCAGCAGUGGGGAAUAUUGGACAAUGGGGGCAACCCUGAUCCAGCAGUGCCGCGUGAGUGAUGAAGGCCUUAGGGUUGUAAAGCCCUUUCGGCGGGGAAGAUAAUGACGGUACCCGCAGAAGAAGCCCCGGCUAACUUCGUGCCAGCAGCCGC
RNAcentral lists this ribosomal RNA (448 nucleotides) under uncultured bacterium. RNAcentral describes it as "SSU rRNA". It matches the Rfam family "Bacterial small subunit ribosomal RNA", at positions 26 to 518 of the family's 1533-position model. The record is from RNAcentral.